Non-coding RNA from Paramuricea clavata, 673 nucleotides. The record is from the annotation of a GenBank genome assembly. Lineage: Eukaryota; Metazoa; Cnidaria; Anthozoa; Malacalcyonacea; Plexauridae.
GAUUAAGAGAUUUUGUUGAUGUAAGGACUCUAGUAACAGUUUACAAAACUUUAAUUCAACCACACUUUGAUUACUGCUCGCAAGUAUGGCGUUGUCUUGGAAUUACCCUUCAAAACAAGUUGCAACGUUUGCAAAAUAGAGCAGCACGUAUCAUUACAAAGCGUGGGUAUGAAUUUAGAUCAGUCGAUAUACUUAAAGAAUUAGAUUUACCUAAUUUAAGUCUCAGAAAACAUAAUCAAUUAUGUACUACUAUGUAUCAGGUAAAUAAUAAUAUGGUGCCUGAUUACCUAAUUGAUUUAUUCACGAAAACCAGUACACUUCAUAAUCAUCAAACUAGGCAGGCUGAAUUUAACUUUGCACUCCCGAGGCCAAGUACCAACUUUUGUAAAAAAUCAUUCUCGUACAGAGGAGCUGUAGCUUGGAAUGAUUUAUUACCUAAUAUAAAAAAUAUGGGUUCAUUGUCAACCUUCAAAAGGGCUCUAGUGUCAAAUAGUCGUAAUAAUUCUUGAUAAUCAAUUUAUCUUUUUUCUUUUUCUCUUCGAUUUUAUUGUAUUAACUUAAUAAAAUAUUUUUAUAAUUGCAUGUAAUUAUUCAUACAUAUAUAGCACGGCCUAUUGGAAGAUCACAUCUUGUAAAUAUUUUAGUUUUUGUCUUUGUGAAAUAGUACCGUGGG